RNAcentral lists this ribosomal RNA (465 nucleotides) under uncultured bacterium. Its description in RNAcentral is "partial 16S ribosomal RNA". It matches the Rfam family "Bacterial small subunit ribosomal RNA", at positions 28 to 507 of the family's 1533-position model. The record is from RNAcentral.
GACGAACGCUGGCGGCGUGCUUAACACAUGCCAGUCGUACGGUAAGGCCCUUUCGGGGGUACACGAGUGGCGCACGGGUGAGUAACACGUGAGUAACCUGCCCACAACUUUGGGAUAACGCUAGGAAACUGGUGCUAAUACUGGAUAUGUGCUCCUGCUGCAUGGUGGGGGUUGGAAAGCUCCGGCGGUUGUGGAUGGACUCGCGGCCUAUCAGCUUGUUGGUGGGGUAGUGGCCUACCAAGGCGGCGACGGGUAGCCGGCCUGAGAGGGUGACCGGCCACAUUGGGACUGAGAUACGGCCCAGACUCCUACGGGAGGCAGCAGUGGGGAAUAUUGCACAAUGGGCGCAAGCCUGAUGCAGCAACGCCGCGUGCGGGAUGACGGCCUUCGGGUUGGAAACCGCUUUCAGCAGGGACGAAGCUUUUUGUGACGGUACCUGCAGAAGAAGCACCGGCUAACUACGUG